Molecule: long non-coding RNA, 13009 nt
Filed under: Malus domestica (apple)
Lineage: Eukaryota; Viridiplantae; Streptophyta; Magnoliopsida; Rosales; Rosaceae
Description: long non-coding RNA (MDOM_LNC000748)
Source: RNAcentral
UCUCGCACACUGAGGAAAGAAUAGGGUGGAGGCGUUGAUGGUGUUGGCGCAGUCUAAGUGGGGGUUAGAGAGCUUGCACAAGGACUUGGCUGCUGUGGUCCAGGCGGGUCGGAUCCACUGGGGCUGGACCAUCACCCCUAUUCUUCACGAUGCCACUGCCGUUCUCCGAGCCAGAGGAGGAAGAUUCAGCCUUCAAUAAGCAUUUUUGGAUCUGGGUUUUCGUUCCCCUGAGGGAAUCUCCAAGAACCCCAAUGGUCAAUGGCUUCUAAUUCGACGGUGAAAAAGGCGAAUAAGGUUUGCUUCUUCUACGGCGCUGAGACCAAAAGCCCUCACCGAGAAUGUCGCGGCCCAGUCCAACUCCAUCGAGCUCUGUAGCAUUACUUAGAAGAAAUUUGAUGAUGGAUUCCCCAACAUUUUCAGACCCAAUGCUCGUGGAAUUCGAGGGCAACAUGUGGCGUUUCUUGCCUCGUUUAGCUCCCCGUCGCGUAUGGAGGAUGAUAGAGAUGUUGCCACCGCUUUCAUGUUUGCCAGGGUCUUGUCAAAUAUUCCAAUUUCGAUGGGAGGGCCUACUAGUUUAGUUAUCUAUGAUAUCCAUGCCUUGCAGGAGCAGUUUUACGUUGGUGAUAAUAUCUUACCGUGCUUUGAAAACGAGAUCCCUUUGCUUAAAAAUAGGCUCCAGCAGCUUCCUGAUUUCGACAAUAUAUCCAUUGCUUUUCCUGAUAAUGGUGCGUGGAAACGAUUUCAUAAGCAGCUAUAUCAUUUCCCUACGGUGUCGUCUUGCUUUUACAAAUGAGGAGUGCAUAAGCUGGCUGCUUUCCAAAGUGGAAAGGAACAGCGUCACCAAGUGGAAGCCAUCCCUGCCAGCUCAACCACCAAGCAAAGAAAAAGAAAGGCCCAUCACUCUACAAAGCAAAAGCAAAAGUAAAGCAGAAAAGGAAAAGAGAAAAGAAGAAAAGGGGAAAAAUUAUAAGAUUCCUAUUAUUACAAUUCCUUUUGUCUACCAGGUGAAGAGACAGAGAGAGUGCGACGGAAAGCAGAACGUAAAAGCAGAAGGCAAAAACAAGGAAUAAACAUCCCACCAGAAUGAUGUGGUUUACUUUUCUUGUUUCUAAAUGGUGUAAAUUAUUUUUCUUAUCUUUCGGAGACAUCUGUAUAAACCCCAUCAGAGGGUAAAAAAAAAAAAAAAAAAAACAGCUAAGCCCAAAAUAAAUGGGCUGGAAUGUUGUGUGGAGAGCAAAGGCCCAUAAGCCUAAAAUAGCACCAACCAAGUUAUCAAAAGUACGCCCAGUACUCCACAAUUAUUCGGCAACCCGCUGCUAUUACCACCAACCAGGUGAUGAAAUGUACAACCCGUACUCUAAUAUCAUUUGGCAACUAGCCAUUCAUGCCACCAACCAGGUGAUGAAAUGUACAAUCCAUACUCUAAAAUCAUUUGGCAACUAGCCAUUCAUGCCACCAACCAAGUGAUGAAAUGUAUAACCCGUACUCUCCUUCAUACCACCAACUAGGUGAUCAAAAGUACGCCCGGUACUCCAAAUUAUACAUGAGCAUUACUCAUGUCAUUCACACAUAAACAUUCAUGAGCAUCAUUCAUGACAAUUAUACAUAAACAUUCAUGACCAUCAUUCAUGUCAACAAUCAUGAGCAUCACUCAUGUUAACAUUCAUGAGCAUCACUCAUGUCAACAUCCAUGAGCAUCACUCAUGUCAACAUCCAUGAGCAUCACUCAUGUCAAUCAACAUAAACAUUCAUGAGCAUUACUCAUGUCAAUCAGCUUUAAAAGCUUCAUUUACAAGACUCUAGCUUUAAAAGCGUCAUUUACAGAGCUCUAGCUUCAAAAGCUUCACUUGCAAAGCUUCACCUACAAAGCUUCAGUGUAGGGUAUACAAAUACCACAUCCGAACAACCACCACUUCGGCCCGUACACGGAUUCAAUUUGAAGUCUCCAGCUAACAGACUCUAUUGACCGAAGACUUGGGGGACUACAUUAUGUACCAUAUAUUGGGCCUCAACUGGGCCUCAUGAAAAAUACUUGGAAGACUUAGCCCAUUGUUUAUGUAUUAAGGAGCGAGCCCUUAUUCUAUAAAAGGGACUUCCUCACUUUCAUUAGAGAGCACCCAUUAUUCAUGUACUGUGGAGUGAGCCCUUAUUUUAUAAAAGGGACUCCCUCACCUUCAUUAGAGAGCAACGCCACCAGCUGAGCAACCGCCUCGCCGCGAGCAUCACUUCUAACCCAUCACUUAUGUAUUGAGGAGCGAUCCCUUAUUCUAUAAAAAGGACUCCCUCACCACCAUUAGAGAGCAUCGUCACCAGCUAAGCAACCGCCUCGUCGCAAGCAUCACUCCUAACCCAUCACUUUUGUAUCGAGGAGCGAGCCCUUAUUCUAUAAAAUGGACUCCCUCACCACCAUUUUUAGAGCAUCACCGCCUACUGAGCAACCACCUUGCCACGAGCAUCAACUCUAGCCCAUCAUUUAUGUAUUGAGAAGUGAGCCCUUAUUCUAUAAAAGGGACCCCCCCACCUUCAAGCGCCACAAGUUGAGCCAACCAAGGCAACAUAAGCACAAGCUGAGCAGCCUCACAACAUGUGCUACUUAUAGUUGAGCAUUAUUUCACUUUGAGCACCACCUCAUAUCAAGUACCAGUUCAAGAAGACAUCUAGUUACUUCGGCUCACACAUGGACUGAAUUUCAAGUAUCUAGCCAAAAGACUCUCUUGACUGAAGACUUGGGGGACUACUGUUUAUACCAUAUUUAGGGCCUCGUAUUUAGAUAUCGUACAAAUACUUGAGGGACUUAAAUGUAAUUAUGUGAUAAAGGAAGGGGCAAAUAUGUAAUAAGUGAGGAGUCCUUAUUCUAUAAAAGGACCCCUCACCUUCACAAUUAGGGGAGGCCAACUCUUAGGCCUAAAGCCCCCCCUCACCCUCUCACAUCUCCUCUCACAUUACAGAGGUUUCUCUCCCUCACAAUCCUCUCAUAAAUACAUAAUCAGUGUGGACGUAGCCCAAACCUUGGGGUGAACCACGAUACAUCUUGUGUUAUUUAUAUUACUUGCAGAUUCACGGUCGAAUUUACGUUGUACCAAGACCUCCGGUUUUGUGCAUCAACAAACUUCGCAGAAGUAACAGCCCUGUCUUCAGGCUCUAGAACCCGAAGGCCGAGAGUGUUCCUUCCUCAGCCCCAGUCAUGAGAUUUAGAAGUCAGCAGCACACCCAACGCAACAUCAACUAAUUUUACUCCUCGGCCAAGCUCGGCCGACAAGUUGGCACGCCCCGCAUUCAACCGAAGGACGUAGUUAGCUCAUAGAUUACUCGGCCUGCACGCCACGUAGGCUUGGUAGUUUUUAGGGUCAACAGAACCAAACUCCAGGAGAUGAUGAUGAUGUGAAAUUCAACAUGCAAAGGGUGAAGGAGAGGAAUUUCAACUAGAAAGAUUUGGAGCAAAGUAGCUGCUGAAAUAUGGUAACCAGUUAGAACCUUGAUUUUAAGUUCCAAAUACAGAAUAUCAAUGUCCUUCAUAAGAAUUAUAAACAAAGAGAAGAAUUCAAAGAGUAUGACCUUCACUGGUUUUCUCCAACUCCCAUUAAUUCCACUUUAAAUCGAGAAAAAUCUUGUUUUCCAAACGAAGCUAUUGAACAUCAAUGUCAUUCCACUGUUUUCUCUCUGCAUCAAUGAAGCGGAAAAUAUGUUAGUCCCAUCAUGUUGUCCUGGCUGAUAGCAUAUUUGAAAUAACACUGUUAAAAAUCAACAAAAAUUAGAAUGAAAUACAUAAUAACUGUACUAGAUUUAUGGAAAAGGAUUUCAUCCACCCAAUUUUCAGUGCCCACUACAAAAUGAAAAGAUAAAAAGUUUAGUCAUAAAAAAUCCACCGAAAAAUAUAAAGAUUACUAAAAUAAUUGGAAAUAUUACCCAGAAAAAACUUCAAACGGAAUUUCAAAAUAAACAUUGACAAAAAAUUAAAAAACAAAUCAUCAAAAACAAACAAAAAAGUUCAAUUGAGAAAGGGGUAUGCAAAAAUGAAGAAAAGAAUUGCGAAAAAGGGGUAUUUGCUGGAAAACAGAGACUCACAACCUUAGCUAAUUCAAGGGUGUAGAGUAAUUACCUUCACCGAACCCAUAAAAGGUCGGAAAGGCCUGAAAUUGGCCAGAAUAAAAUCAGAUUCUCGUCGAAAAAACCGCCGCAAGCUGUGCUUAUGAAACUCUUCAAUCAAUGGGUAGGUUCGAGCAUGCAAAGCUUAAAUGAUGUUGUUGGGACUGUCGUGAACUGAAUAGUUGUGGUUGCGGGCCAGCCGUCAUCGGAAAGCAUGUGAAAGUUGGGUUUUUCGUUCGAAGGCUAGUCGAAGAUGAGGAGAACGGCAAGAGGGAAGAGAGAAGGAGGAAGAAAAAAAUAUAAAGCAUAUAUAUACUUUCUGAGGCAGUGGCAAGAGAAGUAAUAACAUAAAAUUGGCAGGGGCAAAAUGGGAAGCACACUGUGCUUAUGAACAGUAACACAGUUGAUUUUGAGUUUUGGUAUAGAUUGAAUUUUUAAAUUCGUCAAAUUUUCCCACUUUCUUCAUUUUCUGCUUCUAGAGAUGGAAAAUUUCUUACUCACAUGGAAAUGCCACGCUCCAAAACUUAAUUUUAGCAACCAAAAAUGAAGAGAUAAGGAUGAGGUAGAGAUUUGCAAAGUGUUUUCCCCUUUUGGUUUGUUUGGGUACAAGGGUAGUAGAAAGCUACUCCUAAUUUUGAAGCUUGAUAUAUUUUUACAUAACAUUAAGGGUUAAGUACUUAAAACCCAACAACCUUUUAGUGUCGUUCUGAAUUGGUUUCAACCAUUUUAAACAUUUCAAACAAGUGUUCAACCCAUAAUGUCGCAUCUGCCAAGCCCUAUUAAAAAAUUUGUUAAAUUAACUAGACUUUGUUUGCAAUACCAAUAGAAGAUCAUAGAAGCAUAGCCUCCACCAACUAACGGUCACCACCAUUGGCUCCCAUCAGACCAUCACCUCCAAACCCAACGCAAAACCACAAACUCCACCUUACAACUCAAGCCCCCAAUAUUAAGAAGAAGGUCAUAGAGGUUGCUGAAAUGGUAUGGAUUGCCACUAUGCAACCACCACCAUCUUCAUCGCCCAUAAAGAAGAACUUGAAGCUUUACGAGUUGAGAAUCAGUGACUGAGGAAAUCACAAGAGCAUAGGCAAACUCCUUGAAACCCUAUCUGAAUUAACCCGGUUCUCUAUUACGAGAUUGCCUUCCUAAUGUAAUAUUAAUUUGGGUUCAUUUUCGAUUCAAUUCAAUAAUCAUUUGAUCAUUGAGUUCCAUAUUAUAUCAAUCUAUGUUUCAAGUUUAGAUUUUGAGACAAAUAAUAUUCAUGUUUUGAUCAUAAUAUUUUCAGUUGAUGGGUUUUGAAUAUAAUCUAUUUUUGCAUAAUGUUUUGAUCAUAAUAUUCAUGUUUUGAUCAUAAUAUUCAGGGGCAAACUCUCAACGUCGUAUUUUGGAAAUUAGGGAGGAUAUAAGGAGGGGUAUUGUGGAUGGUCAGGUACGACAAGAUUAUAUUGUGGCUAAAGAGAGAGAGUUGCAUGAUGCAUUGAAAGAGGAAGAAAAAUAUUGGAAGGUGAAAUCACGGAACACAUGGCUUUAGGAGGGUGAUAAAAAUACAAAAUUUUUCCACGCCCAAACGAUACAAUGAAGAAGAAGUAAUUGUCUACUUGUUUGGAAGAUAAUAAUGGAUAUUGGCAUAAAGACCCUCGUAGCAUGCAAAAUGUGGCUAUUUCUUACUUUGAGGAUUUAUUUUUGUCUGAUGCCGUAAGGAGGGGUGGGGAUGUCACGGCAUGUGUGGAAAAGAAGGUGGGGGAUGAAGAGAAUGAAGAGCUUAUUCGUCCAUUCUCGGAUGAGGAGAUUCGGAUUGCAACCUUUCAAAUUUCGGCGACAAAAUCACCAGGUCCAGAUGGGUUUACGGUCGGUUUUUUUUCAGGACCAUUGGGAGGUGGUGGGGGAGGAUAUCAUACGUAUGGUGAAAGCCUUUCAUCAUUCGGGGAAGAUGCUUAAAAAAUUGAAUCAUACACAUUGUGUUAAUACCGAAGGUGAAGAACCCGCGGUUGAUGUCCUAGCUGCGACCUAUCUCUGUGUGUAAUGUACUGUAUAAGAUAAUUGCUAAAGUCUUGACUAUGAGAUUAAGGAGAGUGAUUGCGAAGGUAAUUAGUCUUAAUCAGUCUGCUUUUGUUCCAGGUUGCCAAAUACAUGAUAAUAUUUUGGUGGUUCAUGAAAUUCUUCAUUCUCUUAAACAAGGGGUGGAUGGGGUGGAGGGAAGUAUGGCGAUUAAGUUAGAUAUGGCUAAAGCGUAUGAUAGGGUGGAGUGGGGUUUUUUAUUGGAGGUUAUGUUGAAGCUUGGUUUUCACCCUAAAUUUUGUGACUGGAUCUGGGAGUGCAUUUCAACAGUAUCGUACAGUGUUUUGAUGAAUGGUGUCCCUUUGGGAUAUAUUCUGCCGACAAGAGGACUAAGGCAAGGAGACCCAUUGUCACCUUUUUUAUUUCUUCUUUGUGCGGAAGCACUUUCUUCGUAUAUUCACAAAUAUGAGUUGGAUGGGUUGAUACAUGGGAUGCGGGUAUCGGUGGAAGUAGAGCCAAUUUCUCAUUUAUUCUUUGCAGAAGAUUCCGUCAUCUUUUGUCAAGCUAAUGAGUAUGAAGCUAGUCGGGUGAUGCGCAUUUUACAGGAUUAUGGUGACUCUUCGGGCCAGAUUGUUAACUUGGAGAAAAGCUCUAUAUAUUUUGGGAAGGGAUGCCCUAAAAAACAAAAAAAACGAAUCGUUACGAUGAUGAAUAUUCAAGCAAGAGAUGGAUUCGGCAAAUAUUUGGGGCUUCAGGCCGAUUUUGGGCACUCAAAGAAGGCGGUUUUUGAAUCUGUUAGACGUGGUAUUGGGUCCCGUAUUGACGGUUGGGCAGAACAAUUCCUUUCUCCAGUGGGUAAAGAGGUCUUAAUCAAAUCGGUAGCAAUGGUUAUGCCAAAUCAUGCUAUGGCUUGCUUUAAGUUACCGGUUGGAACGUGUAAAGAACUGGAACAAGUUAUCUCUCAAUUUUGGUGGAGGGGGCAAUCGAGAACGAAAUGGUGUCCUUGGGUGGCGUGGGAUAAGAUGACAAUGAGUAAAAAGUGUGGUGGUUUGGGUUUCCGGGACUUGAUUUGUUUUAAUUUGGCUAUGCUAGCAAAGAUCAGUUGGCGGGUAUUACAUAAUCCUAACUUUGUUCUUGGCCACUUACUUCGUGAUAAAUAUUUUCCUGCCACUUCUUUUUUGGAGGCUAAUAGGAGGAAUAAAUCAUCGUGGGGUUGGAAAUGGAUUUUACUUGGCCGUCAAGUAUUACUACGUGGUCUUAGGUGGAGAGUUGGUAAUGGAUUGAGUAUACAUGCGGCGAAUGACCCGUGGCUCCCAAAACCCCAUACAUUUCGACCUAUGAUGCAGCAAAGGGAUGUUGAUCCGCUUGUGCAGUCCCUUAUUGAUCCUGUGACUAAGGAAUAGAAGAUUGAACUUGUGACUGAAUUGUUUAAGCCGGAGGAUGCUGAAAUUAUUAGGGCUAUCGCGAUUAGUCAAAGUGGCUGUGAAGAUCGACGUAUAUGGCAUUAUACGAAAAAUGGGCUAUACACGGUUAAGUCAGGAUACUUUGUUGCGCUUGAGAUGAUGAAAAAUGGGGAAUUUGGUAGGAAGGGGGGUGGUAUGUCAAGCUCUUUGUGCUCGUUGGAUGGUCUUUGGCAAAAAACAUUGAUGUGAAAAUUAUGUUGACACUCAAAUUAACCCUCUUUUUAUCAAUUGUAGCAAAGUAUGUAAGUAGGGAUCGUUCUAAACCGCGGAUUAUGAGGGAUUGCAAAAUCACUUGAAAACUGACUCAAAUACGUAAAAACAAGUUUAAAACACUAAACUCGACUCAAAGAAUGCAAAACUAAACUUUAAAACACCAAAACAAACCAAAAGACUCAAAACAGCCCAGAAACACUCAAAACUGCCUUAAAACCACAAUCUGGGCAGUUUUGAGCACUAGACACAAACUUGGACGAAAAUUGGUUUUAACUUAACCUAAGACACUUAAAAACACAAACUAAAGUGAUUUCUAACUACUAUGACUCAACCAAGUAAAGGGGGAUUGAUUUUGGACGAAUUUAACUUUGAAAACAGAAACUUUGAAAACAAACUUUGACAAAAACGUUUUGAUGAAAAAUUAAGAUGGUGAAAGGCCAGUUAGAAGGUUCCUUCUCCACACAUGAAACAUAUGCAUACGACUCGAUUUCCAAUUACUCUUUCAAUAAACCAUGAAUGACAAUGCCCUAAAUUAACUAGAUUGACCAAUUAAUUCUCAGAUUUCCCUAGAUUCAUUGAAUUGAAUGGGAUACGCAUUACAACCAAAUUAUUCUUAUCAAGGACCCUAACUAUGGAAUACGCAUGAUAGAGACACAUAUCAAAGAUCAUUAAGUUCAAUGGAAAUCAUAAGCAUUGACGAGGCAUUCAUAACUAUGGGAUACGCAUGUUACUCUUGCCUAGGACUUACUUAACACAAUCGUGACUAGCGACUUUUACUACUUAUGAAUAUAAGUUAAUAACGAUUAGGUGAAAUUCCCUUAUAUUCUAGCAUCAAAUUCAUGCAUGCAAACUAAGUGUCGACCCUCAAUCAACAUACAUAAACAUGUUAUCAACCAAAUAGAUAAGUAAACCACAUUCACGAUUUAUGAAAUCAUAAUUGGAAGAAAUCAAGUCAUAUAAAACAUAUGAUCAUGACUUUGAAUUCCCCUCUAACUAUAAAGAAAUUAGUUCCUCAUGUUCGCAAAUAAACAAAGAUAAAUAAAUUUAAACAUUAAAACAAAGAUAGAAAACACCUAGAAUCGCUCCACAAUCCAAGCUCCUUGAAUGGCAUGCACGGCUCCAAGAGUUCUUCCUUCUUUUCCUUGCAAACUCACGGCACAAUGAGGUAUGUUUGAGUGAAUGGUGUAGUGAAAAUAUGGUAGAGGAUGGUGAAUGAAAGGGUGCGGCAAGGCCUUGUAUUUAUAGGCUGAAAAUCCCAUCUCCUAGGUAGCCAAGGACAAGGUUUUAAAAGCCUAAGUUGCAUAGGAUAAUAACAUACAAUCCUAUAAGGAAAACAAGUCAAAAACCCAAAGGAAUUGGGAGAUAAGGUGUGGCACAAAGAGUGUGAAAUGAUAAGGCUUCUAGAAAUCUGAAAUUCCAAGGGAAAUAAGGUAUAGGGUGCGGCACUUAUCUAGGAAGGGAUAAGGCUUCUAGAAAUCCCAUUUUAAGCAUCCUAAUCUAAUUAGAAACCCUCCUAAGUGGCUGAAAUGUGGAUAGUUUAGGAUAAGGAUAAGAUAGGAUAAGGUUUGAUUGGAUAAGAUAAGCUAAGAUAAGGUUAUGGAUGAGGUUUUGGAUAAGAUCCUUCUCUUGAGCUGAUUCUUUGACUUUACUCUUCUUCUUCACAUAGGAAACCUUGCUUGAGUAGGAACUUCAUUCGUCUAGGAAUCCAUCUUCAAUUAGGACUCCUUCAGUGAUUAGGAAUCCCAAUUCAUUUAGGAAUCCUUCAUUCAAGCCAUUUCCUUCUUCAACUAGGAAACUUUGUAUCUUCAAUUCUUCAACUUUGAAACACAUUCCUAGCUUCAUCAAUCCUUCAAAUUCGUCCAUCCUUUGUGCUUCAUGUGCAUGAACUUCAUUCUAGCCCAAUUUUGCUCCAAAAUGCUCCAAAUUGCGUCCUUUUGCUCACUUUGUCUCUAAAACCUGAAAACACAUGAAAAUAGCUUAAAAAGACUAACUUAACUAAGAAAACACAACAUAAAUGCAUAAGAACUAACUAACUAAGGCGCAUAAAUAUGCUCCUAUCAAACAUGGAAGGUGAUGGUUCCUAAUAAAAUUAGGUUGUUUCUUUGGCGAGCUUGCCGUCAUUCUCUUGCCGUGAGACAUAACUUGGAAAGGCGUCGAAUUCGAGUUAAGAAUAUAUGUGAAUUAUGUGGAGCUACUGAUGAAACAGAAGCACAUAUAUUCUUUAACUGUGACUUUAGCUGAGCAUUUUGGUUUGGCACAUCAUUACAAAUUGAUAUGAGUUCUUUUGGGGCACAAGACUUUCUGGGGGGGGGGGUGGAAAAUGCUAUUAGACCGUGUGGGUCAGGGACAGGAUGUAGAUUCAGUGCUUCAACGAAUUGCUUUUGGUUUGUGGCGUAUAUGGAAAUGUCACAAUGAAGCAGUAUUUAACGAUAAUCGUAUCAUGUCUCAUAUUGCAGAUGAGUUGUGGUGUCGUCAAGUAUCCGAGUUUCAAGAGGCGAUGGAAGUGGAUAAUGGGGAGGAGGAUAGAAGUGCACACCAGGUUUUGGUGGGGGAUGGUUCCCAGAUUGUGAUUAGCGCAAAGGGAUGGACGAAACCUGAGUUUGGCAGGUUAAAAUUAAAUACUAAUGCAGCAUGGCAGAAGGAAACAAAGGUAGGUGGCGUAGGGUGGGUCUUGCGCGAAUUUGCAGGAAUUCCAAAGAUGGUGGGAGGAAAUGGUGGGGACUAUUUCUUGUCAUCAGAUAUGGCUGAGGCGGCAACCAUAAGACAGGGACUGCAGAUGUGUGUUUUAAGGGGAUUUCAUGUGUCUGGGGAGGUUCUGGAGGUGGAGUCUGAUUCGGAAGGAUUGGUUCAAAUGUUAAAUAAGGAGAUUCAAGCUGAUGUGUUGCUGGAGGUACAUUUAGUUGAUAUUUGGAAUAUAAUGCAGUCAUUCCAAUCGGUGAAGUUUAUCUUUACCUCUCGACAAUACAAUCGUGUAGCCCAUAUGGUGGCGGCGUACGUUCUUAAGCAUGGUGGGAGUUAUGGUUGGGAUGAAUUAGGACCUCAAUUUUUGUUUAAUAUUUUAGCUGAAGAUGCAAAUAUUUCCAUUCGUAUUUGACGUUUAAUACAUUUCUAUCCCUUGACAAAAAAAAAGAGGAAAGUAUGAUGGAUUUGACUGUUGUGAUAGUGUGGUGGCUGUGACUGGUGAGAAAUGUGAUAGUGGGAGCGGCCUUUUAUAGCCACACGACAGAGUCAUGACUUUGAUAUGGAAAGCAUUAGGUAUGAUUUUCUGAAAUUCAUCGAAUUUUCCCACCAUCACAUUUCGUGCCCUAGAGAUGGAAAUUCUUUGAUAUGGAAGGCGCUGUUCGCUAGCUUCAGGAAAAGGUUCGUAAUUGUUGUUUACCUGUUUUAAUGGUGAACUGCCCAUUUAUACAUUUCCCUAAAGAUGUAAAUAGAGAACGUCAUCAUAAACGCACAUGAGUAGUUAAUUGCGUUAUAAGGACUAAUUUUGUUUUAUUUGUAGUUUUAAAUUAAAGGAGUUGUUGUUGGUAUUUCAAAAAUCUUAUUUUGCAUACCAAAUUUUCUAUAAUUAGAAAGAAAAAUACACUUGUAAGGAAUGCAAUCCAACUUGAGAAAUGCUUUGCUAAUUAACCUUGACAGCCUAAUGAUUCGUUGUUACAUAACGUUAAAAAACCAAAGCUUUAUUAUUGAUGUAACCAUUAAUAUUAUGGUAUAAGAUGACGUUCUCUAUUUACAUCUUUAGGGAAAUAUUUCGUAAAGCACUACAGACUCGUAAUCACUUGAAUUUUUCAUCUUAUACCAUCAAAUUACUAAGAUACUAAAACUAUUUUUGUAUUAUGGUCUAGUGGUAUAAGAUGAAAAAUUCAAGUGAUUACGAGUCUGUAGUGCUUUACGAAAUAUUUUUCAACAGUCGUAUAAAUUUGUAAUAAAAUUUUAAAAGAAUUAAUGGGGUAACAACACCAUGAAAAAAUAGCAUUGGCCUGGAGACAUGUAACUGAUGUAAGACAUCUGGCACCACACCUCCUAAUUUUUUUUGUGAGUGAGGAUCCUCGCCAGAUCCUCAAAUCAUAUAUGUUCAUCGUACAUCGUACGGUCAGAAAUUAUUGUAAAUUUUUUUUAUUUAAAAUUGAAUAUAAACAAUACUAAACGAAAACUGAUCGCACAAUAUACGAUAAACGAAUGUGAUUUGAGAAUCCCCGUAAUCCUCGCAAAGAGGAUCCGACGAGGAUCCUCUCUUUUUUUUGUUGGCAUAUUCAUAAGCCUUUUAGUUAAUAGGAUACUAGGUGGCAGACCCUUAUAGGAUAACUGUGGAGCCAAAAAUAAUCACAAGGCGACACGUGGAUUCUUGGGUAAAAGAGGAUAAAAAUACCCUUGAGGCAUACUGGGAUUCCUACGCGCGAGCAGCGGGCAAUCAUCCCUAAACCAAGUCAAAAGUGCCCAAAAUAGGUAUCAACUUAAAACCUAUUUCAUUCCAUAUAUUUCUUACCUCUUUUUCCCUCUUUUAGCUAAUCAAUUAGCUAUUUAUUUUAUUCUUUCCAUAACUUCUAUAACCUUCCUUCUAAAAAUCAUGAUAAAUGGCCAAUUAAGGGGUUAAUUGCCUAUUUAAUCCCUUAAAUUGUCAAUUAAGUGAUCCCUUUGACCCAUAAAACACCACAUGGCUGGCCAUCCUCCAUGUUUUCUACCUUUUCUACCAUAUUUUCCCUUUUUAAUUACCCUAAUUAAACCUAAAUUUAACCCAAAAACCCUAGCUAGACUGACCACCUCCUAUCCCUAUAUAUAGGCUCCCAUUUCCACCAAAAAGCAAUUCCAACACUUUGGCAAAAAUCCCAAAAUUCUCUAAACACUCUUUCUCUCUAAAUUCUAACUUUGGCAUCGGAGGUUCUUUAGCCAAAGCCCCCCUUCAUCGUGGGUGUGUGAGGCUUUUGGCCUUAACCUACGGUGUUAAUUGUUUUGUAGGUGCAAAAUUGUCCAAGAUCAAGGAGGAAGAAAUUUGCAUCCACAAAUUGGUGCUUUCAUUGAGAGUUGAAAUUCAUACUCGUAGAAGACUCUCGCACAAAAAGGUUUUUUCUUUAUUUUCUAGUCCAUUUGAAUAUUUUUCAUACGUUCUUAUUAUUAGAAUUUUUUACUUGCAAAUGUUCUUUGAUAAAACGUAUAAGCAAAAUAUAAUGGCUAGAAAUUUAGAAAAUUCCACAAGUGAAAAUUCUAAUGUUCAAGAAAUGGGAUUGCGGAGAUCCGUGAGGCUAAAUGCGACAAUA